RNAcentral lists this ribosomal RNA (465 nucleotides) under uncultured bacterium. RNAcentral describes it as "partial 16S ribosomal RNA". It matches the Rfam family "Bacterial small subunit ribosomal RNA", at positions 28 to 507 of the family's 1533-position model. The record is from RNAcentral.
GACGAACGCUGGCGGCGUGCUUAACACAUGCAAGUCGAACGGAAAGGCCCUGCUUGCAGGGUACUCGAGUGGCGAACGGGUGAGUAACACGUGGGUGAUCUGCCCUGCACUUCGGGAUAAGCCUGGGAAACUGGGUCUAAUACCGGAUAGGAGCCAUUUUUAGUGUGAUGGUUGGAAAGUUUUUUCGGUGUAGGAUGAGCUCGCGGCCUAUCAGCUUGUUGGUGGGGUAAUGGCCUACCAAGGCGGCGACGGGUAGCCGGCCUGAGAGGGUGGACGGCCACAUUGGGACCUAGGUGAGGCCCAGGCUCCUACGGGAGGGAGCAGUGGGGAAGAUUGCACAAUGGGCGCCAGGCUGAUGCAGCGGCGCCGCGUGGGGGAUGACGGCCUUCGGGUUGUAAACUCCUUUCGCUAGGGACGAAGCUUUUUGUGACGGUACCUAGAUAAGAAGCACCGGCUAACUACGUG